CCCCCACUGCACCAGAUUUCUCUCUAUAUAUAUAUAUUUUUUUUAAAUAAAAAGAAAACCUGAAAACAUUAACUCCUAUGGAAAUAAAAUGUACAUAUAUCUAUCUGAAUCUCAAACUACCUGCUUCAGUCUGUAAUAACAAGUCAUUACCUUCUUUUCUUCCUAAAUGAAAGCUUUUCCUUGUAACUUGCACACCAAUGUUCAGCAACACUAAACAUCAUAACAACCAUAUGUCAAACAUCUUCCCUGUAUAUAGUUUCACCCAUGGUUACCUGCUUCACUUAAUGUUCAAUAAAAAGGUAACAGAAUCCUCACCCUGGCAACACCAACAAUGUAUAGUUGCUUUGGGUGCAGAUUACUUUUGUGUCAGGAGGAAAUUAGCAACAAUUAUUGCACCUGCAGUAUUAGUGAGCCCAUAUGGCAAUGUACACUUUAACUAUGAUGGUUGUCUCUCUGCAUCCCCAUUUGACAUAACCACUUUACAUGCUGCUUUUGAUGGCGGUCUAUUGAUCUUCUCAAGUAACCUACUGAAAACUAAUUUAACAGGUAUACAAGCAACUGUGGUUGGCCUAGAUGUCUCAGGUUUGAUAAGCCCAUCCAUUUGACUAGUACUGGUAUAAUGUAAGGGCUUACUGAAACUCUGUUGAACAGAAAUUGAGGAUAGGGUUCUUGUUUUUUGGUUAGAUGAUAAACUUGCUUUCUUCGGCAGCUUUCUUGGGAAUUUCCUAUCCAGUGAAGGCCGAGAAAUGUGGGGAAGUCCCUCAGUCACAAGGCAAGCUUGGCACAGAAACUCCCUAUACUUAACUUCCUAAAUGGCAACCUUGCUCCUUGAUCUAUAAAUGGAGGAUCCUCAGCAGCAUCCUCAGCACCCAACACAGAUGAUAAAUGCGGGCGUGGGACCCUGAAGUUGGUCCUUCGAGCAGUCCUCCAAGC
RNAcentral lists this unclassified non-coding RNA (933 nucleotides) under Hevea brasiliensis (rubber tree). The record is from RNAcentral. Lineage: Eukaryota; Viridiplantae; Streptophyta; Magnoliopsida; Malpighiales; Euphorbiaceae.